CCUACGGGAGGCAGCAGUAGGGAAUCUUCGGCAAUGGGGGGACCCCUGACCGAGCAACGCCGCGUGAACGAAGAAGUUAUUCGUAAUGUAAAGUUCUUUUAACAGGGAAGAAAGAGAAAUUUGACGGUACCUUAAGAAUAAGCUCCGGCUAACUACGUGCCAGCAGCCGCGGUAAUACGUAGGGAGCGAGCGUUAUCCGGAAUUAUUGGGCGUAAAGGGUACGUAGAUGGCAUAGUAAGUCUUUUGUAAAAAUGCUGGGCUCAACCCAGUAGGGCAAAAGAUACUGCAAAGCUUGAGUAUGACAGAGGCAAGUGGAACGACAUGUGUAGCGGUAAAAUGCGUAAAUAUAUGUAAGAACACCGAUUGCGAAGGCAGCUUACCAAGCUACUUCUGACGUUGAGGCACGAAAGCGUGGGGAGCAAACAGGAUUAGAUACCCUUGUAGUC
This 446-nucleotide ribosomal RNA is filed under the name uncultured bacterium. RNAcentral describes it as "partial 16S ribosomal RNA". It matches the Rfam family "Bacterial small subunit ribosomal RNA", at positions 338 to 795 of the family's 1533-position model. The record is from RNAcentral.